This is a non-coding RNA of Pangasius djambal, 73 nucleotides long. The record is from the annotation of a GenBank genome assembly. Lineage: Eukaryota; Metazoa; Chordata; Actinopteri; Siluriformes; Pangasiidae.
GGCUUAGUGGCUUAGUGGCUAGCACGUUUGCCUCGCACCUACAGGGUCGGGGGUUCAAAUCCUGCCUCUGCCC